UUAAGGGCGCACGGUGGAUGCCUUGGCACUAGAAGCCGAUGAAGGACGUUACUAACGACGAUAUGCUUUGGGGAGCUGUAAGUAAGCUUUGAUCCAGAGAUUUCCGAAUGGGGAAACCCAGCAUGAGUUAUGUCAUGUUAUCGAUAUGUGAAUACAUAGCAUAUCAGAAGGCACACCCGGAGAACUGAAACAUCUUAGUACCCGGAGGAAGAGAAAGAAAAUUCGAUUCCCUUAGUAGCGGCGAGCGAAACGGGAAGAGCCCAAACCAACAAGCUUGCUUGUUGGGGUUGUAGGACACUCUAUACGGAGUUACAAAGGACGACAUUAGACGAAUCAUCUGGAAAGAUGAAUCAAAGAAGGUAAUAAUCCUGUAGUCGAAAAUGUUGUCUCUCUUGAGUGGAUCCUGAGUACGACGGAGCACGUGAAAUUCCGUCGGAAUCUGGGAGGACCAUCUCCUAAGGCUAAAUACUCUCUAGUGACCGAUAGUGAACCAGUACCGUGAGGGAAAGGUGAAAAGCACCCCGGAAGGGGAGUGAAAUAGAACCUGAAACCGUGUGCUUACAAGUAGUCAGAGCCCGUUAAUGGGUGAUGGCGUGCCUUUUGUAGAAUGAACCGGCGAGUUACGAUUUGAUGCAAGGUUAAGCAGUAAAUGUGGAGCCGUAGCGAAAGCGAGUCUGAAUAGGGCGUUUAGUAUUUGGUCGUAGACCCGAAACCAGGUGAUCUACCCUUGGUCAGGUUGAAGUUCAGGUAACACUGAAUGGAGGACCGAACCGACUUACGUUGAAAAGUGAGCGGAUGAACUGAGGGUAGCGGAGAAAUUCCAAUCGAACCUGGAGAUAGCUGGUUCUCUCCGAAAUAGCUUUAGGGCUAGCCUCAAGUGAUGAUUAUUGGAGGUAGAGCACUGUUUGGACGAGGGGCCCCUCUCGGGUUACCGAAUUCAGACAAACUCCGAAUGCCAAUUAAUUUAACUUGGGAGUCAGAACAUGGGUGAUAAGGUCCGUGUUCGAAAGGGAAACAGCCCAGACCACCAGCUAAGGUCCCAAAAUAUAUGUUAAGUGGAAAAGGAUGUGGCGUUGCCCAGACAACUAGGAUGUUGGCUUAGAAGCAGCCAUCAUUUAAAGAGUGCGUAAUAGCUCACUAGUCGAGUGACACUGCGCCGAAAAUGUACCGGGGCUAAACAUAUUACCGAAGCUGUGGAUUGUCCUUUGGACAAUGGUAGGAGAGCGUUCUAAGGGCGUUGAAGCAUGAUCGUAAGGACAUGUGGAGCGCUUAGAAGUGAGAAUGCCGGUGUGAGUAGCGAAAGACGGGUGAGAAUCCCGUCCACCGAUUGACUAAGGUUUCCAGAGGAAGGCUCGUCCGCUCUGGGUUAGUCGGGUCCUAAGCUGAGGCCGACAGGCGUAGGCGAUGGAUAACAGGUUGAUAUUCCUGUACCACCUAUAAUCGUUUUAAUCGAUGGGGGGGGACGCAGUAGGAUAGGCGAAGCGUGCGAUUGGAUUGCACGUCUAAGCAGUAAGGCUGAGUAUUAGGCAAAUCCGGUACUCAUUAAGGCUGAGCUGUGAUGGGGAGAAGACAUUGUGUCUUCGAGUCGUUGAUUUCACACUGCCGAGAAAAGCCUCUAGAUAGAAAAUAGGUGCCCGUACCGCAAACCGACACAGGUAGUCAAGAUGAGAAUUCUAAGGUGAGCGAGCGAACUCUCGUUAAGGAACUCGGCAAAAUGACCCCGUAACUUCGGGAGAAGGGGUGCUCUUUAGGGUUAACGCCCAGAAGAGCCGCAGUGAAUAGGCCCAAGCGACUGUUUAUCAAAAACACAGGUCUCUGCUAAACCGUAAGGUGAUGUAUAGGGGCUGACGCCUGCCCGGUGCUGGAAGGUUAAGAGGAGUGGUUAGCUUCUGCGAAGCUACGAAUCGAAGCCCCAGUAAACGGCGGCCGUAACUAUAACGGUCCUAAGGUAGCGAAAUUCCUUGUCGGGUAAGUUCCGACCCGCACGAAAGGCGUAACGAUUUGGGCACUGUCUCAACGAGAGACUCGGUGAAAUCAUAGUACCUGUGAAGAUGCAGGUUACCCGCGACAGGACGGAAAGACCCCGUGGAGCUUUACUGUAGCCUGAUAUUGAAAUUCGGCACAGCUUGUACAGGAUAGGUAGGAGCCUUUGAAACGUGAGCGCUAGCUUACGUGGAGGCGCUGGUGGGAUACUACCCUAGCUGUGUUGGCUUUCUAACCCGCACCACUUAUCGUGGUGGGAGACAGUGUCAGGCGGGCAGUUUGACUGGGGCGGUCGCCUCCUAAAAGGUAACGGAGGCGCUCAAAGGUUCCCUCAGAAUGGUUGGAAAUCAUUCAUAGAGUGUAAAGGCAUAAGGGAGCUUGACUGCGAGACCUACAAGUCGAGCAGGGUCGAAAGACGGACUUAGUGAUCCGGUGGUUCCGUAUGGAAGGGCCAUCGCUCAACGGAUAAAAGCUACCCCGGGGAUAACAGGCUUAUCUCCCCCAAGAGUUCACAUCGACGGGGAGGUUUGGCACCUCGAUGUCGGCUCAUCGCAUCCUGGGGCUGUAGUCGGUCCCAAGGGUUGGGCUGUUCGCCCAUUAAAGCGGUACGCGAGCUGGGUUCAGAACGUCGUGAGACAGUUCGGUCCCUAUCCGUCGUGGGCGUAGGAAAUUUGAGAGGAGCUGUCCUUAGUACGAGAGGACCGGGAUGGACAUACCUCUGGUGUACCAGUUGUCGUGCCAACGGCAUAGCUGGGUAGCUAUGUGUGGACGGGAUAAGUGCUGAAAGCAUCUAAGCAUGAAGCCCCCCUCAAGAUGAGAUUUCCCAACUUCGGUUAUAAGAUCCCUCAAAGAUGAUGAGGUUAAUAGGUUCGAGGUGGAAGCAUGGUGACAUGUGGAGCUGACGAAUACUAAUCGAUCGAAGACUUAAUC
Molecule: ribosomal RNA, 2913 nt
Filed under: Staphylococcus aureus
Lineage: Bacteria; Bacillati; Bacillota; Bacilli; Caryophanales; Staphylococcaceae
Description: bacterial LSU rRNA
Rfam family: Bacterial large subunit ribosomal RNA
Source: RNAcentral